UGAGAGACACUGUUCAUUCUUGGGAC
RNAcentral lists this non-coding RNA (26 nucleotides) under Mus musculus (house mouse). The record is from RNAcentral. Lineage: Eukaryota; Metazoa; Chordata; Mammalia; Rodentia; Muridae.